Molecule: ribosomal RNA, 252 nt
Filed under: uncultured bacterium
Lineage: Bacteria
Description: partial 16S ribosomal RNA
Rfam family: Bacterial small subunit ribosomal RNA
Source: RNAcentral
UACGGAGGGUGCAAACGUUGCUCGGAAUCAUUGGGCGUAAAGCGCACGUAGGUGGCUUGUUAAGUCGGGUGUGAAAUCCCUGGGCUCAACCCAGGAAGUGCACUCGAAACUGGCGAGCUUGAGUACUGAAGAGGGUCGCGGAAUUCCCGGUGUAGAGGUGAAAUUCGUAGAUAUCGGGAGGAACACCAGUGGCGAAGGCGGCGACCUGGCAGAUACUGACACUGAGGUGCGAAAGCGUGGGGAGCAAACAGG